CAGGCUUAACACAUGCAAGUCGAGGGGUAGAAGUUUUCGGACUUUGAGACCGGCGCACGGGUGCGUAACGCGUAUGCAAUCUACCUUUUACAGAGGGAUAGCCCAGAGAAAUUUGGAUUAAUACCUCAUAGUAUUAUGAAAUGGCAUCAUUUUAUAAUUAAAGUUCCAACGGUAAAAGAUGAGCAUGCGUCCCAUUAGCUAGUUGGUGUGGUAACGGCACACCAAGGCAAUGAUGGGUAGGGGUCCUGAGAGGGAGAUCCCCCACACUGGUACUGAGACACGGACCAGACUCCUACGGGAGGCAGCAGUGAGGAAUAUUGGACAAUGGGCGCAAGCCUGAUCCAGCCAUGCCGCGUGCAGGAUGACGGUCCUAUGGAUUGUAAACUGCUUUUAUACGGGAAGAAACCCUGGCUCGUGAGCCAGAUUGACGGUACCGUAGGAAUAAGGAUCGGCUAACUCCGUGCCAGCAGCCGCGGUAAUACGGAGGAUCCAAGCGUUAUCCGGAAUCAUUGGGUUUAAAGGGUCCGUAGGCGGUUUUAUAAGUCAGUGGUGAAAUCCGGUAGCUCAACUAUCGAACUGCCAUUGAUACUGUAGAACUUGAAUUGCUGUGAAGUAACUAGAAUAUGUAGUGUAGCGGUGAAAUGCUUAGAUAUUACAUGGAAUACCAAUUGCGAAGGCAGGUUACUAACAUCAUAUUGACGCUGAUGGACGAAAGCGUGGGGAGCGAACAGGAUUAGAUACCCUGGUAGUCCACGCCGUAAACGAUGGAUACUAGCUGUU
RNAcentral lists this ribosomal RNA (780 nucleotides) under Flavobacterium sp. Its description in RNAcentral is "bacterial SSU rRNA". It matches the Rfam family "Bacterial small subunit ribosomal RNA", at positions 43 to 824 of the family's 1533-position model. The record is from RNAcentral. Lineage: Bacteria; Pseudomonadati; Bacteroidota; Flavobacteriia; Flavobacteriales; Flavobacteriaceae.